Long non-coding RNA from Myotis myotis, 3496 nucleotides. RefSeq lists it as uncharacterized. The record is from RefSeq and is a predicted model, not a curated record. Lineage: Eukaryota; Metazoa; Chordata; Mammalia; Chiroptera; Vespertilionidae. The transcript has 2 exons.
UCAGCCCAGCAUCAUGUGUCUCACUCGUUCACUUCUUGAUUUGACAUACGAGUAAUUUGAGUUACGAGCUCCGUCACGGAACGAAUUAAACUCGUAAGUCAAGGCCCCACUGUAUGUGCUGUUAAUUGCUGUUAUAUACUGCCUCCCAAUUUCAACAUGGAUCUUUAAUAAAAAGGCAAAACAGUACUAUUUCUCUCUGAUUGGCAGCUCUGCCUGUCCUGUGUAACUGCCAGACCUGGCUGAAAGGUAGCUCGCUGGCUGGCCAGUCCAGCAACACUGGGACUGGGAUCCAGCUCACCUAACCAGGAUAGAAUGGAUGUGUCUGGAUGCCAAGCUGGCCCCCAUUUUAAACUGAUCCUCUCUCUUCCGGAGGAACUUUGGGAAGAGGCUAUCUAUCAAGGCAAAGGCUCCCUUUUUGUGUCUGUCUCUGAUGUUGGGACCUAAGAAGCCAUUUGUUUAGCCCUCAGAGAAGGAGUUGAGUGAAGUAGAGUAUAAGGAAAAUGCACCCAUAACCUAAUAAAAUAGCACUCACACCCUGAGUCUAAUCUUUUGGGCUUAUACUACCUCUUGGGGUUCUCACCAUUCCUUCCCCUACUAUUACAUGAAUGAAAUGCACUGCUUCUCUUUAUAAAAUAAUGGCCAAAUUCUCAAACUAACUCAAACUGCAAGAUAGAAGUACCACAACUGUCUCUUAACUAGGGUAAUAGAAAGUUGAAUUUUAAUGACAAAAUGUACCAGUGAAAAUUACCCUCACAAGUAAUGUUAUUUAAAUAAUGAAUUUCAGGAUAACAAACUGUUUCCUUCUAGGAUCAGUAUAGUCUAAUAAGUAUACAACCUUUAAAAGGACCAUAUUCAAUCAGUUCUUUAUUUUCAGGAUACACAAAUACUAAAGUUAUGCCCUCCAAGGAUUGAAAUUGAUUGGAUUUAAGCUAAAUUCAAUUAAGUAAAUUAAACAGGUUAUGAAAUGUGACAUUUACCAUUCAUUCUCCUACUGAAGGUUUGAUCCAAGAACCACAAGAUUCCAUGAUCAAAUUUUCUGCAGGUAAAUUAUUUAUGCAAAUUCUAAGUUCUAAGAUAAAAAAAUUAUGUCUCUAUUAUCUUCAUUGCAUGGAUGGUCAUCACUGAAUGUCAUAUUAAUUUUGUCCAAAAGUAAAAGCCGUAAGUUGGUUGGCAUAGUUACCCCCUGAGCAGUUUAAUAACAAAUGUCCCACUAAACGUAUUAUUCCUUUCCCAUUUUAACUCAGUGGUUUCCUUUGUUUAUCUUGAAGUAUUGAUGCCUUACCAAGCCAAAGGUUAUGAUACAUUUUGAAAUAAAGCUAGAAAAAAUUAAAUCUCAAACAUUUCAGAGUACCACUAAAAAAGCCAGUCAAUAUCCAGACCCAAUCAUACCAAUCGCCAAUAUAUUUGAUGCAAACAGUAGACAUAGUGAGAAGAAAUAGACAAGUUUUUCUUGCCCAAAUCUCUGCCAGUUCUUCAAUCUUGGAACAACAUAAACUGCAUACAAACUUGCUGGGGUGUUCAUUUUACCAAAAAGAUUAAGUCAGGUAAUAAUCGCAUAACAGAAUUAAUUUAACCCCCCUCCCAAUAAAAAGGCCAUUGGUAGGUUGUUUUUUUGGUCACGUUAAAGGGAUUUCUGAGUUCCAAACAAUAAAAACUAAUCUUAGAAUUGAAUGAUCCCUUAUUUCUCCAAGAGAAGGUAUCAAUUCUUAUCCAUUAAUGUAACAGAAAAAAAUCAUUUUAUUUCCCAACCAAUUUGAGAACUUUUAACCAUCUCCACACCUCACAUAUUUUUCAGAUUCAGGACACAAUCUUUAUCAGGUUUAUAAUGUUGGCCAACUUUUCUGGGCAUUAUGUGUGGUAGUGUUUUUUUCAGUUUAAAGUGUAUAAAUUUUUAUUACAUUCUUUUUUAAAAUUCUUUUUUUAAUUAAAUCUUUAUUGUUCAGAUUAUUAAAGUUGUUCCCACGUUAUGUGUGUUUUCAAGCUGUUGUUUUUAGCCUCAGAAUCCCUUGUUUAAAUAGAACCAUUUUCAGAAGCUACAUAUGUAAAAUAAUUGGAGGCAGAGGAGCUGGAAUUGGAGUGAGUGGGAGCCAAACCCACCUGCUUGGCCCUCUCUGGGGCCUGGAGGCUGCUCUGAGGGGUCUCAGAGGAGGAAGCUGCUUCAAACCCUGCCCUGGGCAAAUCCUGCCCACCCUUCUCCCUUGCUUUAACCUUUCCCAGUCUCAAGCCAAACUCCAUAUGUUUAAUUUAUCCAGUGACACAUGCCAUGCUUACUUAAUUCUUUGCUAGGACACAGGAUUUCUUAAGUUUAUUUCUUCCUUCAAGGGUAUACCUGCAUUUCUACUCUAUAAUCUCUACUGAGCAGAUGGUCUCAGCAGACAGUGCGGAGUCCCUAUAACCUCAUCCAGGAAUCUAGCGAGCUGACACCCACCAAGAAUCCCUGGAAGGCAUGGGAAAUAGCAGCACAGAUGUCCAGAAAAGCCCUGUCAGAAGCUACAAGGAUCCCCAAAGUUAUUUUUGCAGCAAACGCCUACACUGAAGGCAAGGGAAGAUUCAGAUGCAAGUUUCAGCCCUACAGGACCCUGGGCCCCACAGCCUGGCUGCAGGCAGCUCUGAGUCUCCCUCCCUGCUGCCCUGGGCUCAGCGGGCACACCCAGUGGCAUGUGUGCUCAAUGUUCCCAAGGACAGGCUGCUGUUUCCCUGCUUGCUCCUGGGUCUGGCCCUGCAAGGCACUCCAUAAAAGUUAAAAAAUGGGCACAGAAGCCACAUAUAACAGUGCAGGAAAAAACACAGGUAGAGCCCCCAUCGCUACCAAAUCCUCUUACCACAGUCGCAGGGUGCUUCCGGCGAUGACAGAAGUCCUCUGGGCUGCUGGGCCUUUGAAGGAAGGUCACCCAGCCCCCUGAGAAGGAGUCAGGGGCAGGCAGCAGAGCUAGACUGCAGGGACAUGGAGCCGUUGGCAUCUCCCUGGCACCCAGCGCCCUCCCACUCUUCCUCUGCUGGCCGUGAGCUGUCACGCAGUCACUGGUCUGUUUGCACAGGCUUUCUCUCGGUUUAAGUCGCCUCGCUCUGCUGUGAGCUCCUGCUCUCUACAGCAGCGGCACACACACACACACACACACACACACACACACACACACACACACACGGCACAACAUUGAGGCGCCGGGACCCCCAGGAAGCGGCCUCUCCCAAUCCCAGGUUCCCAACGCCUUGAAGAGGUCCCUGGAAGUCCCGCCGAGCCAGGUCCCCACGGGGACAGCCCUGUCCUGUCCUCAGCCUCCCUCGUCGACCUCCUGGCUCCAUCUUUUCCUGCCUGAGACUCCGUGCACCCUCCGUCUGGGCCCGAGCGAGCGCCUGUGCAAUGAGGACGUGCAGUGUCUGUACCGCAGGGGCGCUGGAGGCGACGCGGCGGGACGACGGGGGCUGGGGUUACUAAAAACCGCUACAUAUUUUUAAUAGAUUUAUAUUUUAAAUAAAUGUAUGUGUAGUUUGUAAA